This 406-nucleotide ribosomal RNA is filed under the name uncultured bacterium. RNAcentral's name for it is "partial 16S ribosomal RNA". It matches the Rfam family "Bacterial small subunit ribosomal RNA", at positions 30 to 526 of the family's 1533-position model. The record is from RNAcentral.
AUUGAACGCUGGCGGCAGGCCUAACACAUGCAAGUCGAACGAGUGGCGGACGGGUGAGUAAUGUCUGGGAAACUGCCUGAUGGAGGGGGAUAACUACUGGAAACGGUAGCUAAUACCGCAUACCAUCAGAUGUGCCCAGAUGGGAUUGUCUUGUGGGUGGGGUAACGGCUCACCAAGGCGACGAUCCCUAGCUGGUCUGAGAGGAUGACCGGCCACUCUGGACCUGGGCCACGGUCCAUACUCCUACGGAGGUCAGCAGUGGGGAAUAUUGCACAAUGGGCGAAGGCCUGAUACCGCCAUGCCGCGUGUAUGAAGAGGGCCUUCGGGUUGUAAAGUACUUUCAGCGGGGAGGCGUUACCCGCAGAAGAAGCCCCGGCUAACUCCGUGCCAGCAGCCGCGGUAAUAC